Molecule: long non-coding RNA, 527 nt
Organism: Fundulus heteroclitus (mummichog)
Lineage: Eukaryota; Metazoa; Chordata; Actinopteri; Cyprinodontiformes; Fundulidae
Exons: 3
Source: RefSeq, a predicted model, not a curated record
CUGUGCUGGAGGGUGAAUAUCUGCCCCAACCCUCAAGUCUCUUCUUCUUCAAAUUCUCCUAUAUGUAGCUCCACCAGCUCUGACCAGCUUUACUGUCUGUGCUGAAGAAAAGUAUCCUCGCAGCAAGACACUCCGACCACUAUGUUUCGUGGUGGAGAUGGAUGACGAUUAAUUAAAGCAGGAAGGCUGUCAAAAUGAACACAGAGGAGUGAUUACCAGGCGCUUCGCACAAAAAGGUUGUGCUGACGGUGCCGUGGAUGUUUGGAAACAAGAACAACUCCAGGUUUUCUUCAUUUCUAACAUAAUCACGAAACAGGAGGUGACAUGGGGGUGACCUCCCGGUCUCCCUGUUAAGGCCUCCUGAAGCUCCUGGUAAUGGAAAAACAGGACAGAUGGAGAAAAUACCAGCGAGCCUCCCUGACGGAUCAGCCAGCUGUUUACCUGACAGGUAUCCCGGAGGUUUGUAAGGAUAACUUCAGCUGGUAGUCCGCUCAGAAGGCUUUGAUUGCAACGUUUGAUUUCACCUA